CUUUUCCUACGGGAGGCAGCAGUGGGGNAUCUUAGACAAUGGGCGCAAGCCUGAUCUAGCCAUGCCGCGUGAGUGAUGAAGGUCUUAGGAUCGUAAAGCUCUUUCGCCAGGGAUGAUAAUGACAGUACCUGGUAAAGAAACCCCGGCUAACUCCGUCCCAGCAGCCGCGGUAAUACGGAGGGGGUUAGCGUUGUUCGGAAUUACUGGGCGUAAAGCGUACGUAGGCGGAUUAGAAAGUAUGGGGUGAAAUCCCAGGGCUCAACCCUGGAACUGCCUCAUAAACUCCUGGUCUAGAGUUCGAGAGAGGUGAGUGGAAUUCCAAGUGUAGAGGUGAAAUUUGUAGAUAUUUGGAGGAACACCAGUGGCGAAGGCGGCUCACUGGCUCGAUACUGACGCUGAGGUACGAAAGUGUGGGGAGCAAACAGGAUUAGAUACCCUGGUAGUCCACCCCGUUCCGAUGAAUGCCAGUCGUCGGGCAGCAUACUGUUCGGUGACACACCUAACGGAUUAAGC
Molecule: ribosomal RNA, 513 nt
Filed under: uncultured bacterium
Lineage: Bacteria
Description: bacterial SSU rRNA
Rfam family: Bacterial small subunit ribosomal RNA
Source: RNAcentral